RNAcentral lists this ribosomal RNA (253 nucleotides) under uncultured bacterium. Its description in RNAcentral is "partial 16S ribosomal RNA". It matches the Rfam family "Bacterial small subunit ribosomal RNA", at positions 524 to 776 of the family's 1533-position model. The record is from RNAcentral.
UACGAAGGGGGCUAGCGUUGCUCGGAAUUACUGGGCGUAAAGCGUGCGUAGGCGGUUUGUUAAGACAGGUGUGAAAUCCCCGGGCUUAACCUGGGAACUGCGCUUGUUACUGGCAGACUUGAGUGUGGCAGAGGGGGGUGGAAUUCCAGGUGUAGCAGUGAAAUGCGUAGAUAUCUGGAGGAACACCGAUGGCGAAGGCAGCCCCCUGGGCUAACACUGACGCUGAUGCACGAAAGCGUGGGGAGCAAACAGG